UUCCAAUGAUGAUGAAUCUUAGCUCACUUUGAUCCGAUGUGAAACGACUAGAACAUCUGAGCAAC
Small nucleolar RNA from Xiphias gladius (swordfish), 65 nucleotides. The record is from RefSeq and is a predicted model, not a curated record. Lineage: Eukaryota; Metazoa; Chordata; Actinopteri; Istiophoriformes; Xiphiidae.